Molecule: ribosomal RNA, 253 nt
Filed under: uncultured bacterium
Lineage: Bacteria
Description: partial 16S ribosomal RNA
Rfam family: Bacterial small subunit ribosomal RNA
Source: RNAcentral
UACAGAGGGGGCAAGCGUUGUUCGGAAUUACUGGGCGUAAAGGGCGCGUAGGCGGCCUGCUAAGUCGAACGUGAAAUCCCCGGGCUCAACCCGGGAACUGCGUCCGAUACUGGCAGGCUUGAAUUCGGGAGAGGGAUGCGGAAUUCCUGGUGUAGCGGUGGAAUGCGCAGAUAUCAGGAGGAACACCGGUGGCGAAGGCGGGUCUCUGGGCAGUAACUGACGCUGAGGAGCGAAAGCGUGGGGAGCGAACAGG